This 1927-nucleotide long non-coding RNA is filed under the name Mus musculus (house mouse). RNAcentral describes it as "predicted gene, 56984". Lineage: Eukaryota; Metazoa; Chordata; Mammalia; Rodentia; Muridae. The record is from RNAcentral.
AGUAGCAUAAGACAAUCACCAAGAACAGCAGCAGCCUUGGGGUGGAGCCAGUCAGAGCCAAGAAGACAAGCUACGUGUGUUGCAAAGGGCAGAGCCAGGGAAAUGUCCCAAGCCCCUUGGAGGAGCCCAGAAUAUUCUUAGUGGAUCUCCCAUGUUGGAUGUUGAGACUUGGAUGCUCCAUCAUAAUUUAUUGCAUCUUAAGAAAUCCUUCUGUCUGGUCCACACCUCUACUUGCAAUCUUGGAUUGGCACUGACUCCCCAGCUCACAGCUCUGUUUGCCUCCCAGGAAACCUACUCCUACUCAGGACAAUGAGGUAAGACACUCAUGCCUCAAUCCCCCAUCUACUGGGCCAGGGCAAACCCAGCAGCUAAGAGGUCUGCCUUGUCCUUUCUGAGAUCCAUCUUAAGGUCCAGACCUCUGCGUGCAAUCUCUAGGAUCUGAACUCAAUACCCCACCUACUGCUCUGCUUGCCUUUUGGAAGGUCUGCUGUCAACCAGGAUAACAAGUCCCAGAGGCCUGCUACUCUCUAGCACUAUGAUACCAAGCCAACACCAGAGACAACCAGAUGGCUAAAAGCAAGCACAAGAACACAAUCAAAAAAAGCCAGUUCAAUAUGGCACCAUUAGAAUCCAGCUAUCCUACUACAGCAAGCCCUAGAUAUCUUAACAUGCUUGAAGAGCAAGACUAUGUAUGACCUUAAAUCUCAUCUUAUGGAGAUGACAGAGGCCUUUAAAGAGGAAAUAAAUAAAUCCCUUAAAGAAACACAGAAUACUACAAUCAAACAAGUGCAGGAAAUGAAUAAAACUGUCCAAGACAUAAAAAUGGAAAUAGAAUCAACAAAGAAAACACAAACAGAGGCAAUCUUGGAGAUAGAAAGCCUAGUAAAGAGAACAGGAAGUAUGGACACAAGCACAUCACCAACAGAAUAAAAGAGAUAUAAGAGAGAAUUUCAGGCAUAGAAGAUACAAUAGAAGAAAUUGAUAUAUCAGUUUAAAAAAAUGUCAAAUCUGAAAAGUUUGUAAUGUAAAAUAUCCAGGAAAUAUUAGACACCUUGAAAAGACCAACUGUAAGAACAAUAGGAAUAGAAGAAGGAGAGGAUUCCAAGUUUAAAAGCUAAGAAAAUAUCUUCAACAAAAUCAUAGAUUACAAACUUCCCUAGCCUAAAGAAAGAGAUGGCUAUAAAUAUAUAAGAAGCUUACAGAACACCAAAUAGAUUGGACCAGAAAAGAAAAGUCUUCUACCACAUGAUAACUAAAACAUAAAAUGUACAGAACAAAGAGAGAAUAUUAAAAGCUAUAAGGGAAAGGCUAAGUAACAUAUCAAGGCAGCCGUACUAGAAUUACACAUCCUUCUCAACAGUGACUCUAAAAGUCAGAAGGUCUAGAGACCACAGAUGUCAGCCCAGACUAUUAUACCCAGGAAAACUUCCAAUCACCAUAGAUGGAAACACCAAGAUAUUCCAUGACAAAAUCCAUUUUAAACAAUAUCUUUCUACUAAUUAAUUUCUACAGAGAAUACUAGAAAGAAAACUUCAACACAAGGAGGGUAACUAUACCCAAGAAAACACAAGAAAUUAAUCAUCUCACAGGAAAAAACAAAAGAAGGGAGCCUCUCACAUAUAGUAUCACCACCAACAUAAAAAUAACAGAAGCAAUCAUUGGUUGUUAAUAUCUCUCAACAUCAAUUCACCAAUAAAAAGACACAGGUUCACAGAUUGGAUAUGUAAGCAGGAUCCAUUAUUCUGCUACCUACAAGAAACAUACCUCAGCAACAAAGAUAAAUGCUACCUCUUUUACUUUUACAGAGUAAACGGCUGGAAAAACAUUUUCUAAGCAAACAAACCCAAAAAACAAACAUUCUAAUACCUAAAAAUUACACUUUCAACAGAAGUUAUGAAAAGAAAUGGGGAAGAACACUUCAUACUCA